This 351-nucleotide long non-coding RNA is filed under the name Mytilus galloprovincialis (Mediterranean mussel). Lineage: Eukaryota; Metazoa; Mollusca; Bivalvia; Mytilida; Mytilidae. The record is from RNAcentral.
GUUUCAGAAAAACUUUAAAAAUGCAUUUAUUUAAUUUUUUUUUUUUUAAUUAAAUUUAAUUAUUUUACACAAUAUGCUUUCCAGUAUUCAAAUAAUUGUUUUGUACACUACUUUGUAAUGUUUUUCACUGAAAAUGUAGCAUUGAGGUGUAUUUUCCGGAAUUUGCCGAGUAUCACCGGAAUGCCAUGUGAUAACGUUACGGAAAGGCAUGUGAUAACAAUCGAAGCAUGUGAUAAACUUUUCAUAUCAGCCCGCUAAGCACCAAUUCGAAAAAUAUGGAAAAUACUUUAAUUUAAUGCUAUUAUCAUACGGUAAAAAUCAUAUGUUAUUUAGUCUAAGUAUAUGAUAAGA